RNAcentral lists this long non-coding RNA (488 nucleotides) under Spirodela polyrhiza (greater duckweed). RNAcentral describes it as "long non-coding RNA (SPOL_LNC001330)". Lineage: Eukaryota; Viridiplantae; Streptophyta; Magnoliopsida; Alismatales; Araceae. The record is from RNAcentral.
GUCGUUCACCUAUUCAGGCAUCUGAAUGAUUCCUAGUCGCCGUAGAGAGCCGAGGACUUCCACAAGGACUUGCGCGUUGCUUGAGGUAGAAAGCUGACGACUUUCUUAUCCGAUCAUGGGUUUUAUACGGCUCCUUCUACAAAAGUCCAAAUGACAUUCAAAACUCUGCCGCUAACUUUUAUUGGCCCGCAGUAUACCAUCGACUAAUGUUCCAUGAGCGGUCUUCGUUUGCGCAGUAGUCAGCCUUUUUGGCUCCUUGUUCACUUCUUGUUCAUCAUCGAGGCAAGUGGAUGGAAAAUCAGGAACUUAGCCAAGUUAUGAUCACACGUUUCACUCUUCAUCCAUGUACAAAAGCAAGAUAGCCUAGCCCUCUGAAACGCCCCUCCUGACCCACAUCCUUACCCAUCCAGAGAGGGAGAGGGAGAGAGAGGUAGAGAGAGAGAGAGAGAGAGAGAGAGAGAGAGAGAGAGAGAGAGAGAGAGAGANNN